CAAUAGCGUAUAUUAAAGUUGUUGCGGUUAAAAAGCUCGUAGUUGGAUUUCUGCCGAGGACGACCGGUCCGCCCUCUGGGUGAGUAUCUGGCUCGGCCUGGGCAUCUUCUUGGAGAACGUAGCUGCACUUGGCUGUGUGGUGCGGUAUUCAGGACUUUUACUUUGAGGAAAUUAGAGUGUUUCAAGCAGGCACACGCCUUGAAUACAUUAGCAUGGAAUAAUAAGAUAGGACCUCGGUUCUAUUUUGUUGGUUUCUAGAUCUGAGGUAAUGAUUAAUAGGGAUAGUUGGGGGCAUUCGUAUUUAACUGUCAGAGGUGAAAUUCUUGGAUUUGUUAAAGACGGACUACUGCGAANGNAUUUGCNAAGGAUGUUUNCAUUG
RNAcentral lists this ribosomal RNA (379 nucleotides) under uncultured eukaryote. RNAcentral describes it as "partial 18S ribosomal RNA". It matches the Rfam family "Eukaryotic small subunit ribosomal RNA", at positions 592 to 975 of the family's 1831-position model. The record is from RNAcentral.